Molecule: ribosomal RNA, 443 nt
Filed under: uncultured bacterium
Lineage: Bacteria
Description: partial 16S ribosomal RNA
Rfam family: Bacterial small subunit ribosomal RNA
Source: RNAcentral
CCUACGGGGGGCAGCAGUGGGGAAUAUUGGGCAAUGGAGGCAACUCUGACCCAGCAACGCCGCGUGAAUGAUGAAGGUCUUCGGAUUGUAAAGUUCUGUGAUGGGGGAUGAACACAAUGACGGUACCCCAAUAGCAAGCCACGGCUAACUACGUGCAAGCAGCCGCGGCAAUACGUAGGUGGCAAGCGUUAUCCGGAUUGACUGGGCGUAAAGGGUGCGUAGGUGGUUUAGUAAGUUGGCGGUGUAAUUCCGGGGCUCAACCUCGGCGCUACCGCCAAAACUAUUAGACUAGAGUGCAGGAGGGGUAAGUGGAAUGCCUGGUGUAGCGGUGGAAUGCGUAGAGAUUAGGAGGAACAUCAGGGGCGAAGGCGACUUACUGAACUGUAACUGACACUGAGGCACGAAAGCGUGGGGAGCAAACAGGAUUAGAUACCCGUGUAGUC